RNAcentral lists this small nuclear RNA (126 nucleotides) under Chinchilla lanigera (long-tailed chinchilla). Its description in RNAcentral is "U4 spliceosomal RNA (ENSCLAG00000020993.1)". It matches the Rfam family "U4 spliceosomal RNA". From Rfam's summary of the family: U4 small nuclear RNA (U4 snRNA) is a component of the major U2-dependent spliceosome. The structure of U4 snRNA from yeast and human has been reported. U4 snRNA presents a k-turn RNA motif in the 5p-SL related to recognition of Snu13 protein. The record is from Rfam by way of RNAcentral. Lineage: Eukaryota; Metazoa; Chordata; Mammalia; Rodentia; Chinchillidae.
AGCUUUGCGCAGUGGCAGUAUCGUAGCCAAUGAGGUUUAUCCGAGGCGCGAUUAUUGCUAAUAACAGAAAAUAAUUAAUACAAGAAGGGCUCUUACCUUGGCUCUUUUCCUGGCAUGACCAUGGUU